AUGCGUCAGAUUCUUCAGAGUUUUUCUUUCUCAUGUAAUAAGGUCGACAAUCAUACUUGUGAGGCUUGCCGUCUUGGCAAGCACUUUCGUCUUCCCUUUAGCGAGUCUACAAACAUUUCCACCUUUCCGUUUCAGCUAUUGCAUAGUGAUGUUUGGACGUCCCCGGUUGCUAGCAACACGGGCUAUUUAUACUAUCUGGUGAUAUUGGAUGAUUUUUCUCAUUAUGUGUGGACAUUCCCUCUCCGUCGCAAGUCCGACGCUCUUGCCACACUCACAGCCUUUUAUUCAUAUGUCACCACACAGUUCGGUCGUCCCAUUCUCGCCUUGUGUAAGUGCAUCUAG
Molecule: ribosomal RNA, 342 nt
Filed under: Triticum aestivum (bread wheat)
Lineage: Eukaryota; Viridiplantae; Streptophyta; Magnoliopsida; Poales; Poaceae
Description: partial small subunit ribosomal RNA
Source: RNAcentral